GUGCUCGUAGCUCAGUCGUAGAGGCAGAGGACUGAAAAUCCUCGUGUCGCGUUCGAUUCCGUCCCGACCACU
This 72-nucleotide transfer RNA is filed under the name Bacillus sp. UFRGS-B20. RNAcentral's name for it is "tRNA-Phe". The record is from RNAcentral. Lineage: Bacteria; Bacillati; Bacillota; Bacilli; Caryophanales; Bacillaceae.